CAGAGGGGAAAAUGGCGUGUUUUGGGGCAGGAACUUGGGUGCUGCUCCUUUCAUAGGUUCCUCAGCAUCAUCAUUACCAUGCAGGAAUGUGCCCCUAGGAGUCCAUUCUGUGUGGUUUUGGAGGGAAACGCGCUCUCAACCCAUCACUAUGGACCGAGGAUGCGUGUCCUUAGAUCCAACUGUGUGAAUCCUGUCCUGGAAUGUCAACCAGUUUGGCCAGAGCUGGCGAAUGGAGGCAGUAAGCAAUAUCCAUGGACAACAGUUGCCAUUGCACUGCACACUGCCCUUACCCACCUGUGUAAGGUUCUGUAUUUAUUUUCUUAGUCAACCUUGUGUUCUUGAACGUAGCCCUGUUUCUUUGUGUUCUUGAACGUAGCCCUGUCUUUCAUUUUUGUUCAUUGAUUUUGUCACAUGAGUUGACGCUGGAGAGACGAAGCAGGUUCGGGGAGUCAAACAUUUAAUAAAGAACGGACAUGGAACGAGACAGGAACAGCGUCAGCAAACUAGUGGGAUGCAGGGCAGCCUGGCGCCCUCGAGCACCGGGGGGGGGAGCAGACGUGACAGUACCCCCCUCUAGGGGCGCCACCUGGUGUGCCACCUGGGCGAACCGGCCAAGACAUGGGCGCUGGGAAAGCCGGUUGGGGCGUGGAAGCCCAACGAACCGGCAGGAGCGUGAAAGCCUGGCGAGACGGCUGAGGCAUGGAAGCCGGACGUUCCGGCUGAGGCAAGACGCCUGUCGACCCCGCUGCAGAGAAGGAGCCCGAAGAUCCGGUGGAGUGUGAUGUGGGUUAGGAAGCUGCAUAGCCAACCGAGGCAAGGAAACCUCUCGAGCCAGCCAGGGAGUGAAUGCCCGACGGGCUGACUUAGUCACCCCCGGUUCCAUCGGUGGCGACCCAGAGCCGAUGCCACCAUACCAACUGGAAUGCCAGUACUUGUUAUUUUACCUGAAAUGCACAAGGACCUUUUCUGGAUGUUUGUAGAAUUUUUACCCAUUUUGAGUCACACAAAAUUGUGUGUUCUCUACUCCGUCAAUUAAUCCACAGAUAAAAAGGGAAACCUAGUUAGUUUCUAUUAAUCUCUCCUCCGUCAGUCUUCUUCUUCUGUGGACUUUAUAUAGCGGUUGGCAACCAACUUUAAGGUGUAUUACCACCACCGACUGGAGUGUGGACCUCAAUUCAUCUUUCAAUCAUCCAUGUGGAUAUAUGCUCCUAAAAACCAAUGAGGAGGUUGGGAGGCAGGACUUCCAGCGCUUCACACGUCAAAAAUGGAACCAAGUUUGGAUUAAAUGAUUGAAUAACAUGUAUGUGUACAUUUAUUUUGCAACGUUGUGCACGUAACAAUCACACCUACAACCCUGUACAUGUGACUAUUAACUCAAUCUCUGAAUUAAACAUUCUGAAUUAAACACUGAGUUAUAUGGUGGGACAGAAAUGAAAACUGUAAGAUUUCAUGUACUUUUGUUGAUUUCCCAUUCACAC
RNAcentral lists this long non-coding RNA (1478 nucleotides) under Salmo salar (Atlantic salmon). RNAcentral's name for it is "lncRNA (ENSSSAG00000082890.1)". Lineage: Eukaryota; Metazoa; Chordata; Actinopteri; Salmoniformes; Salmonidae. The record is from RNAcentral.